UACGUAGGGAGCAAGCGUUGUUCGGAUUCAUUGGGCGUAAAGGGUGCGUAGGUGGCGGGGUAAGUCAGGUGUGAAAUCUCGGGGCUCAACCCCGAAACUGCACUUGAUACUGCCUUGCUCGAGUACUGGAGAGGAGAUUGGAAUUUACGGUGUAGCAGUGAAAUGCGUAGAUAUCGUAAGGAAGACCAGUGGCGAAGGCGAAUCUCUGGACAGUUACUGACACUGAGGCACGAAGGCCAGGGGAGCAAACGGG
This 253-nucleotide ribosomal RNA is filed under the name uncultured bacterium. RNAcentral's name for it is "partial 16S ribosomal RNA". It matches the Rfam family "Bacterial small subunit ribosomal RNA", at positions 524 to 776 of the family's 1533-position model. The record is from RNAcentral.